Molecule: ribosomal RNA, 468 nt
Filed under: uncultured bacterium
Lineage: Bacteria
Description: partial 16S ribosomal RNA
Rfam family: Bacterial small subunit ribosomal RNA
Source: RNAcentral
GACGAACGCUGGCGGCGUGCUUAACACAUGCAAGUCGAACGGAAAGGCCCUGCUUUUGUGGGGUGCUUGAGUGGCGAACGGGUGAGUAACACGUGAGUAACCUGCCCUUGACUUUGGGAUAACUUCAGGAAACUGGGGCUAAUACCGGAUAGGAGCUCCUGCUGCACGGUGGGGGUUGGAAAGUUUCGGCGGUUGGGGAUGGACUCGCGGCUUAUCAGCUUGUUGGUGGGGUAGUGGCUUACCAAGGCUUUGACGGGUAGCCGGCCUGAGAGGGUGACCGGCCACAUUGGGACUGAGAUACGGCCCAGACUCCUACGGGAGGCAGCAGUGGGGAAUAUUGCACAAUGGGCGGAAGCCUGAUGCAGCAACGCCGCGUGCGGGAUGACGGCCUUCGGGUUGUAAACCGCUUUCGCCUGUGACGAAGCGUGAGUGACGGUAAUGGGUAAAGAAGCACCGGCUAACUACGUG